RNAcentral lists this ribosomal RNA (486 nucleotides) under uncultured Methanosaeta sp. RNAcentral describes it as "bacterial SSU rRNA". It matches the Rfam family "Archaeal small subunit ribosomal RNA", at positions 852 to 1338 of the family's 1478-position model. Lineage: Archaea; Methanobacteriati; Methanobacteriota; Methanomicrobia; Methanotrichales; Methanotrichaceae. The record is from RNAcentral.
AAACUCAAAUGAAUUGACGGGGAGCACCACAACGGGUGGAGCUUGCGGUUUAAUUGGAUUCAACGCCGGAAAUCUUACCGGGACCGACAGCAAUAUGAAGGCCAGGCUGAAGACUUUGCCGGAUUAGCUGAGAGGUGGUGCAUGGCCGUCGUCAGUUCGUACUGUGAAGCAUCCUGUUAAGUCAGGCAACGAGCGAGACCCACGCCCACAGUUGCCAGCGUACUCUCUGGAGUGACGGGUACACUGUGGGGACCGCCGCUGCUAAAGCGGAGGAAGGAAUGGGCAACGGUAGGUCAGUAUGCCCCGAAUAUCCCGGGCUACACGCGAGCUACAAUGGUUGGUACAAUGGGUAUCUACCCCGAAAGGGGACGGGAAUCUCCUAAAACCAAUCUUAGUUCGGAUUGAGGGCUGCAACUCGCCCUCAUGAAGCUGGAAUCCGUAGUAAUCGCGUUUCAACAGAACGCGGUGAAUACGUUCCCGGGCCUU